RNAcentral lists this non-coding RNA (45 nucleotides) under Schistosoma mansoni. Lineage: Eukaryota; Metazoa; Platyhelminthes; Trematoda; Strigeidida; Schistosomatidae. The record is from RNAcentral.
AUCCAGCUGAAGAGUCUCAAACAGGCCAAAACGCGUGUCCUUGAU